AGAUGAGAGUUACCCCCCGUCCGCAGGGGACUGCGGACGGCUUCAGGCCGGGGCUUGUCCAGUGCCGGCCUGGUCGUGCCCUCGCGCACACCACCGGCGCCUGACGGCUCCGGGAUCUCCUCACCGGUCGGA
Molecule: non-coding RNA, 132 nt
Filed under: Streptomyces pluripotens
Lineage: Bacteria; Bacillati; Actinomycetota; Actinomycetes; Kitasatosporales; Streptomycetaceae
Description: Streptomyces RNA 5676
Rfam family: Streptomyces RNA 5676
About the family: Identified by deep sequencing of transcriptome at the end of exponential growth phase.
Source: Rfam by way of RNAcentral